RNAcentral lists this ribosomal RNA (460 nucleotides) under uncultured bacterium. RNAcentral's name for it is "partial 16S ribosomal RNA". It matches the Rfam family "Bacterial small subunit ribosomal RNA", at positions 338 to 795 of the family's 1533-position model. The record is from RNAcentral.
CCUACGGGAGGCAGCAGUGAGGAAUAUUGGUCAAUGGACGGGAGUCUGAACCAGCCAAGUAGCGUGGAGGAUGACUGCCCUAUGGGUUGUAAACUUCUUUUAUAUGGGAAUAAAAUGUUCCACGUGUGGGAUUUUGUAUGUACCCUAUGAAUAAGGAUCGGCUAACUCCGUGCCAGCAGCCGCGGUAAUACGGAGGAUCCGAGCGUUAUCCGGAUUUAUUGGGUUUAAAGGGAGCGUAGGUGGAUUGUUAAGUCAGUUGUGAAAGUUUGCGGCUCAACCGUAAAAUUGCAGUUGAAACUGGCAGUCUUGAGUACAGUAGAGGUGGGCGGAAUUCGUGGUGUAGCGGUGAAAUGCUUAGAUAUCACGAAGAACUCCGAUUGCGAAGGCAGUUCACUGGACUGCAACUGACACUGAGGCUCGAAAGUGUGGGUAUCAAACAGGAUUAGAUACCCCUGUAGUC